RNAcentral lists this ribosomal RNA (396 nucleotides) under uncultured bacterium. Its description in RNAcentral is "bacterial SSU rRNA". It matches the Rfam family "Bacterial small subunit ribosomal RNA", at positions 30 to 429 of the family's 1533-position model. The record is from RNAcentral.
AUUGAACGCUGGCGGCAUGCCUUACACAUGCAAGUCGAACGGCAGCGGGCCUUCGGGUGCCGGCGAGUGGCGAACGGGUGAGUAAUGCAUCGGAACGUGCCAUUGAGUGGGGGGAUAACGUAGCGAAAGUUACGCUAAUACCGCAUAUUCUGUGAGCAGGAAAGCAGGGGACCGCAAGGCCUUGCGCUCUUUGAGCGGCCGAUGUCAGAUUAGCUAGUUGGUGAGGUAAAGGCUUACCAAGGCGACGAUCUGUAGCGGGUCUGAGAGGAUGAUCCGCCACACUGGAACUGAAACACGGUCCAGACUCCUACGGGAGGCAGCAGUGGGGAAUUUUGGACAAUGGGCGCAAGCCUGAUCCAGCCAUGCCGCGUGAGUGAAGAAGGCCUCGGUUGUAAG